CCCGGAAAGAUCGAAGGGGGAGAUUCAUCGUCGGCGGAGUGUUGGCUUUCACUUGGUACGCGAUGUUUCAAUUUCACGUUACCGUAUGAAUGUCCGGCCGCGUCGGCGUGCACUUCUCCCCUGGUAGAACGUCGCGACCCGCUGGUCGUUGGUCUACGGGCCCCACUGCGUUCAACAGUCUGUCGACCUUGCGUCUCGCGCGUAAGCGCGUCGGCAGGAACGCGCCGGGUAACCAUGUUCCCCGGCCAACUGAUCGGCGGUAGAUUUGAGAAAAGGCGCUGAGCCGCACGAACGCGUGCGUUCCGGCCCGUCGCAAGCUUGACUUGGUUUUUCGGAGGUCGGACCUGGUGCCGUCCCCGGGACCGGUUGGCUGUUGGUGACGGUGUUCUCAGACCGGCUCUCACUCAUAUUUUAUAUGACGCCUGUCAGCGACGCUAUAGCUUUGGGUACUUUCAGGACCCGUCUUGAAACACGGACCAAGGAGUCUAACACGCUCGCAAGUCAUUGGGAUUAUGAAACCCAAAGGCGUAUUGAAAGAGAAGAUCGUCCCUGGUGUCUAUCGAGGGAAGACGGACGCGCGUCUCGAUACGCGUCCAGCACUCCCGGGGCGUCUCGUGCUCAUUGCGAGCUGAGGCGCACCCUUAGCGAGCGCGUUGGGACCCGAAAGAUGGUGAACUAUGCCUGGUCAGGAUGAAGUC
This 698-nucleotide ribosomal RNA is filed under the name Inostemma sp. M350. Its description in RNAcentral is "eukaryotic LSU rRNA". It matches the Rfam family "Eukaryotic large subunit ribosomal RNA", at positions 512 to 853 of the family's 3401-position model. The record is from RNAcentral. Lineage: Eukaryota; Metazoa; Arthropoda; Insecta; Hymenoptera; Platygastridae.